ACCUGGCUGGCUCAGUAGGUAGAGCGUGUGAUUUUUGAUCUCUGGGUUGUGAGUCUGAGCCCCAUGUUGGGUG
This 73-nucleotide transfer RNA is filed under the name Ailuropoda melanoleuca (giant panda). It matches the Rfam family "tRNA". Rfam says of the family: Transfer RNA (tRNA) molecules are approximately 80 nucleotides in length. The record is from Rfam by way of RNAcentral. Lineage: Eukaryota; Metazoa; Chordata; Mammalia; Carnivora; Ursidae.